This 282-nucleotide long non-coding RNA is filed under the name Lathyrus oleraceus (garden pea). RNAcentral's name for it is "Pisum sativum (pea) long non-coding RNA (PSAT_LNC003744)". The record is from RNAcentral. Lineage: Eukaryota; Viridiplantae; Streptophyta; Magnoliopsida; Fabales; Fabaceae.
AAAAAUUAAACAAAAAUAAAACUAAAAAGAGAAAUAAUAAGAAAUAAAAUUUAAUAAGAAACAAAAAUAACAAAUUAGAAAAAAAAAAUUAUAAUUGAAAAAAAAAAUUAAACGUUGCACAAGCAUCGUAAAAAACUUGAUGAAUUCUUGGCAAGUGUAUCGAUAGUUUCAUAGUAAUAAAAUAUUGAGUUCAAAGCGGAAAUAACAAAGAGUUCAAACAGAAUUAUGAAAGCGGUCAGAUUGUGUCUCCCCUAUUUAUUUAUUGUUGAUGUUUGAUGUCUU